ACAGGGAUUGCCCUAGUAACGGCGAGUGAAGCGGCAACAGCUCAAAUUUGAAAUCUGGCGUCUUUGGCGUCCGAGUUGUAAUUUGCAGAGGGCGCUUUGGCAUUGGCAGCGGUCCAAGUUCCUUGGAACAGGACGUCACAGAGGGUGAGAAUCCCGUACGUGGUCGCUAGCCUUUACCGUGUAAAGCCCCUUCGACGAGUCGAGUUGUUUGGGAAUGCAGCUCUAAAUGGGAGGUAAAUUUCUUCUAAAGCUAAAUACUGGCCAGAGACCGAUAGCGCACAAGUAGAGUGAUCGAAAGAUGAAAAGCACUUUGGAAAGAGAGUUAAAAAGCACGUGAAAUUGUUGAAAGGGAAGCGCUUGCAGCCAGACUUGCCUGUAGUUGCUCAUCUAGGUUUCUACCUAGUGCACUCUUCUAUAGGCAGGCCAGCAUCAGUUUGGGCGGUUGGAUAAAGGUCUCUGUCAUGUACCUCUCUUCGGGGAGAACUUAUAGGGGAGACGACAUGCAACCAGCCUGGACUGAGGUCCGCGCAUCUGCUAGGAUGCUGGCGUAAUGGCUGUAAGCGGCCCGUCUUGAAACACGGACCAAGGAGUCUAACAUCUAUGCGAGUGUUUGGGUGUCAAGCCCGAGCGCGUAAUGAAAGUGAACGGAGGUGGGAACCUUUCGGGGUGCACCAUCGACCGAUCCUGAUGUCUUCGGAUGGAUUUGAGUAAGAGCAUAGCUGUUGGGACCCGAAAGAUGGUGAACUAUGCUUGAAUAGGGUGAAGCCAGAGGAAACUCUGGUGGAGGCUCGCAGCGGUUCUGACGUGCAAAUCGAUCGUCAAAUUUGGGCAUAGGGGCGAAAGACUAAUCGAACUAUCUAGUAGCUGGUUCCUGCCGAAGUUUCCCUCAGGAUAGCAGUAACGUUUUCAGUUUUAUGAGGUAAAGCGAAUGAUUAGAGGCCUGGGGGUUGAAACAACCUU
RNAcentral lists this ribosomal RNA (960 nucleotides) under Didymella macrostoma. RNAcentral's name for it is "eukaryotic LSU rRNA". It matches the Rfam family "Eukaryotic large subunit ribosomal RNA", at positions 68 to 1048 of the family's 3401-position model. Lineage: Eukaryota; Fungi; Ascomycota; Dothideomycetes; Pleosporales; Didymellaceae. The record is from RNAcentral. RNAcentral also lists the same sequence under 5 other names.